CUACGGGACGCUCCAGUAAGGAAUAUUGCGCAAUGGAGGCAACUCUGACGCAGCCAUGCCGCGUGCAGGAAGAAGGCCUUAUGGGUCGUAAACUGCUUUUAUUUAGGAAUAAACCCCCGAACGUGUUCGGGGCUGAAGGUACUAAACGAAUAAGCACCGGCUAACUCCGUGCCAGCAGCCGCGGCAAUACGGAGGGUGCAAGCGUUAUCCGGAUUUAUUGGGGUUAAAGGGUGCGCAGGCGGGCUAUUAAGUCAGUGGUGAAAUCCCGGGGCUCAACUCCGGAACUGCCAUUGAUACUGAUAGUCUUGAGUUUGGUUGAAGUGGGCGGAAUGUAGCAUGUAGCGGUGAAAUGCAUAGAUAUGCUACAGAACACCAAUCGCGAAGGCAGCUCACUAAGCCAAAACUGACGCUCAUGCACGAAAGCGUGGGGAUCAAACAGGAUUAGAUACCCCCGUAGUC
This 459-nucleotide ribosomal RNA is filed under the name uncultured bacterium. RNAcentral describes it as "partial 16S ribosomal RNA". It matches the Rfam family "Bacterial small subunit ribosomal RNA", at positions 339 to 795 of the family's 1533-position model. The record is from RNAcentral.